GCGCGGUGCGUGCGUAAAAUAAGCGGGAGUGAGCGUCCCACCCGGAAGAGGACGGGGGGCGUGGCUUAAGAAGGCUUAAAAGGGCCACGUGCGGCGGAGACUGUUCUGUUUGAAAUGGCGACGCGUCCAGAGUGCAUAAGAAUGCUUUCUACUUCUCUAUCAAAAUGGAGCAUCCACAUCAGGCCUCCAGUAGGCCUUUCACCAUGUUAUCCUGGGUGACUCCGGCUUUAAGGUAUACGGUCCUGUUCCCAGGAUGAUUGGUUCUUCAAGCAGAAUAUGACGGCCAAGUAGGGCAUCUGCCUUCUGAAUAAACCUUGGCCAAGCUGUCUGACUGCAUCUCCAUGAAAACAGGAAAGGUGACAAUUUGGAUGGAGUAGUCCCGGAGGAAGAAGUAUGGCUUUGAGAGGGAUCCCUAGAUCACAAGCCAAUUGAAGCCUGUUUCUGUGUUGUUUUACAUUGCUCUUGAAUAAGCUUUAUUUUGCUCCCUUGUAUUUGUAGUCUUCAUUAUGUGGACCAAAUAAGGGUGUGCAUUUUUUUAAAAGCAGUUUCCCUCAGACUCAGUUGAACAGCAUUUGGGUUGGGGAGAAACUGUCUAAGAUUGGAAGUCUUUUGCACAAGAGCAAUUACAUUCUGGGCAAUAUUUAUUAACUUAAAUAAAGCGUUAUAGAAGAACAA
Molecule: long non-coding RNA, 675 nt
Organism: Anolis carolinensis (green anole)
Lineage: Eukaryota; Metazoa; Chordata; Lepidosauria; Squamata; Anolidae
Exons: 4
Source: RefSeq, a predicted model, not a curated record